AGUGAACGCUGGCGGUAGGCCUAACACAUGCAAGUCGAACGGCAGCACAGUAAGAGCUUGCUCUUACGGGUGGCGAGUGGCGGACGGGUUAGGAAUACAUCGGAAUCUACUUUUUCGUGGGGGAUAACGUAGGGAAACUUACGCUAAUACCGCAUACGACCUACGGGUGAAAGCAGGGGAUCUUCGGACCUUGCGCGAUUGAAUGUGCCGAUGUCGGUUUAGCUAGUUGGCGGGGUAAAGGCCCACCAAGGCGACGAUCCGUAGCCGGUCUGAGAGGAUGAUCAGCCACACUGGAACUGAGACACGGUCCAGAGUCCUGCGGGAGGCAGCAGUGGGGAAUAUUGGACAAUGGGCGCAAGCGUGAUCCAGCCAUCCCGCGUGGGUGAAGAAGGCCUUCGGGUUGUACAGCCCUUUUGUUGGGAAAGAAAAGCAGCAGGUUAAUACCCCGCUGUUCUGACGGUACCCAAAGAAUAAGCUCCGGCUAACUUCGUG
RNAcentral lists this ribosomal RNA (492 nucleotides) under uncultured bacterium. RNAcentral's name for it is "partial 16S ribosomal RNA". It matches the Rfam family "Bacterial small subunit ribosomal RNA", at positions 29 to 507 of the family's 1533-position model. The record is from RNAcentral.